Non-coding RNA from Schistosoma mansoni, 46 nucleotides. The record is from Rfam. NCBI's taxonomy places the organism in Eukaryota, Metazoa, Platyhelminthes, Trematoda, Strigeidida, Schistosomatidae.
ACAUUGCUGAGGAGUCUCAUCAUAGGACGAAACGGCCGUUCAGUGC